RNA transcript from Alnus glutinosa, 1663 nucleotides. It is a transcript of the gene named F-box/kelch-repeat protein At3g06240-like, with no coding region annotated. NCBI's taxonomy places the organism in Eukaryota, Viridiplantae, Streptophyta, Magnoliopsida, Fagales, Betulaceae. The record is from RefSeq and is a predicted model, not a curated record. The transcript is spliced from 2 exons.
AUGUUGUCUUCUUUUCUUCAUCUUUUUCUAAGAAAAAAAAAACCAAAAAAGUUUUGAGAGGCUCUGCAACUGAUUCGGAAAGCUUUUUUUCCUCUAAAAUGUUUUCUUCUUUAUCCUCUUCAAUCCCCAGAAAAAGGACGAUGUCAGACACUCUCCCCAAUGAAGUUGUCGCCGAAAUCCUCUCACGAUUGCCCGUGAAGUCUGUCAUCAAAUUCAGGUGCGUUUCCAAGACAUGAUGCUCUCUCAUUUCUAGCCCCCAUUUCAUCGCCACCCACCUCAGCCGGGCUCUUUCCAACCACGAAUACCCAUCCAACCUUGUUUUCUACCAUUUCGACUACCCACUCAAGAAAGACCGAUCCGCUGCCAUAUGCAUCCAUCGGCUUUCCCUUGAUCCAGAAAUGCAAGAGAGGAGUUUGGUCACUCAAGAAUCUGAUGUCAGAGGAGAUCCAGCAGAUUUCAUCGAAUUCCGUUGCUCGCGCGAUUGCAUGAUGGUAAUUGGUUCAUCUAACGGCCUAUUUUGUCUCACCAAAGGUUUUGAUUCAUACGUUCUCUGCAACCCUUGUAUUCAAAAAGCCAUAUCCAUUCCGCACCCUAACAUUGGCCUUCGGGGAUUGGAAACCCAGACUCAUGGCUUUGGGUAUUGCCCCAAGACCGACGAUUACAAAGUGGUGAGGAUUGUACAUGCCGAAGGCACCACUCAUUCUCUGGUUGAGAUUUAUACGCUUCGAACCGGCGCAUGGCGCUCUUUUAUGGCCCUCGGUCCUUCCUACUACUUUAGAGAACCCUUCGGCUCACCCUCGUUACGUAAUAUUUUCUUUAAUGGGGCAGUCCACUGGCCAGCUCGCACUCCAGAGCACCAGCGCCCGUUUCGCCACCUAAUCGUGUCGUUCGAUAUAGAGGAUGAGGUGUUUCGUGAAAUGGCUAUGCCAAAGAGUUUACAAGGCGCGGAAACCUUCGAGCUUUUUAUGGCGGUAGUUGAUGGGUUGCUUGCUCUUAUCCCCUACGGGGACGAUCAGGAUGUGCCCGUUUGGGUGAUGAAAGAGUAUGGAAGAGCGGAAUCUUGGACUAAGCAGUUCGAUAUUAAGUUUGAGUAUGGAUCAUAUGGUCCGAUAGGCUUUACAAAGAAUGGCGAAGUUCUAGUGGAACAUGAGGGAGAUUUGUGUUCUUACGAACGUAAUAGCGAACAAUCCUGGUAUCUUCACAUUUAUGAUAUAAGUGACUGGCUUUAUUUCGAUACUUAUGUGGAGUCCCUUGCUCUACUGAAUGUAGUAGAUGGAGUUUUGGGAGUGGAAACGACUUUGUAUUGUGUUAGCAAGCUCAAGGCGAAAGAAAAGAAGUGAAAAAGGAAGAUACGGAUGUAAGCUUAUGCGAAAAUCAACUACAAAUUGGCCCAUUUUCAUUCUGGUGUUAGUGUUUCCAUUCUGCAUUCUCUCACGUGGGCUAACUGUCUUUCUAGGUUGGGACAGUGAUUCAGUUGCGAGCAAGCAGGAAAAGGAGGCUUUACUGAUCCAGUCCCAAGUCAAAUCAUGCUUGGUGGUAGUAGUUCAAAUGACUUGAAAAAGAGUAUUAUCAUGUACUGCUCGUACUACAAUUAUUGGUUAGUUUGAUGGUUGUUGGACUUGGAAGGGUUUUAAUGGGUAGUAAUUACAACUUUUAUACUUAA